CUGGGUGGGUGAUAGACAUCUGGCUGUUUCCUGGAAAUGCUGUGGAGAAAAAUCCCAUUAGACUUUAAAACUUUUAAGGGCACAGAUCCUAUCUUUAACCUUUGAAAUCCCAAAGCCAUUGUGAUAAUUCUCUACUCAAUAAAUACUUCUGGUUUUGAGAUUUAUGCUAAUUCUGAUACCAGGCUCUAUACUAGGAGAGGCUGAAAUGUAAUAUUUAAUAGAAAUGAUGAAUAAAUUAAUUGAUGAGUUCAGUACCACAAAGCAAACAUCCAGUAGUUUAUUUCACCCUGAGACUGUAUUCCUCAGGUUCAGAUCUAUGAGCAUGACAACAUCUGAGCAGAUGAAGCUGGGAAGGUGUGAGCGGUAGGGAGAAGAUGGUGGUGACAUCAACAACUGUCAGUCACGGAGAGAGUCCAUGAUCACCCUUAAAUCAUCUGUCCUCAUGUUUUCUGUUUUGACACUUUUCUCCAGAGUUAAGUGAAGAAUUAAGGCCCUCUUUCUGGAAAAAAGUGAGCCAGUCCUGUGGAGUCAAUGGAAACAUCCGGAGCCCUAACAAUCUCUCAGCCAACACUGACCCCCAGGCUGCCCUCCCAGCCCAGACGUGACAACCAGCUCAGAGCUCUGCCAGAAGGACACCACCUCAAACUUCUCCCCAGAUUCCCAUUUUGGGGAGGAUAAAGGUUCUCAGGUUCAUAACCAGAAUGCAGUUGGAUGCCAUACAGCAAUCCCAGGUGGUUCAGUAAAUAUGGGGUGGGAAUUUGGGCCCUGAGGUCUACCCCAUUCUCACCUCUUCAGACUCAUUCUCCAAGACCAAGAGCCAGGAUUUCCUGUUGGCACAGUCUGUGACACCAGCCUCCCAGCUGUGCUUUUGUCCUGAGAAGUAGUAACACCUGCUGCUGUUCAGCCACCCCCCCAAGGGGCAGAGCUCACAAACUGUGCCUGGGCAAGAACAAGGACAAAGACAGACGUUUGGGAUGGCAUAACUUCCCAUGACUUUGGUUCCUACAGCAAAAACCAAUAAAUUGCACCCAUG
This is a long non-coding RNA of Ornithorhynchus anatinus (platypus), 1033 nucleotides long. RefSeq lists it as uncharacterized. Lineage: Eukaryota; Metazoa; Chordata; Mammalia; Monotremata; Ornithorhynchidae. The transcript is spliced from 3 exons. The record is from RefSeq and is a predicted model, not a curated record.